RNAcentral lists this long non-coding RNA (917 nucleotides) under Homo sapiens (human). Its description in RNAcentral is "HSALNT0081876". The record is from RNAcentral. Lineage: Eukaryota; Metazoa; Chordata; Mammalia; Primates; Hominidae.
CUUGCUUCCCAGUAGCCUCUGCCAAUGGGAGACACUGGUGGGAGCUUGGAAGGAGGGUAGAAGGGAGAAAGAAGCUGAUUUUAUUUCUCCUUCUGUUGAAGUCUCUGGCAGUGGCAGCAGUAGCAGCAGUGGCAGCAGCUGCGGCAAUAGCAGUAGCAGCGGCAGUAGGUGACUGAGUUUCUGCUCAGGUGGAGUUUCAACAGCAGUGGGGGCAGGGAGUGCUCUCGCAGCCUCUGCAGCAGGGCGUUCCUGGGCUCUGGAUCUGGCAGCAUCAGUGUCCGUGACAGGCAGCCCUUGGUGGGAGUUUAAUUUCUCGGCUUCCUGAAAGAUUUCCAAUAACGGCCGUGGAGCAGCAAGUAUCACAGCAGCUUCAGCCACCGAGCAAUCACCGACUCUUUGUGGAUCACACCAUAUUUCCUUUUGUUCAGCCAGCCUUAGGACGGCCCUGAAAGCAGCAGAUCUCACCUGCAUUGGAGGAUGAGACGCCACAUGAAGAAGAAAGAAGACGCCACAGACAGCAGCGCAGUACCACCUUCCAGAGAUGUCCUAAAAACAUCCUGAGUUUCUUUGGCCUGCCAGAAAGUCACCUUCCUGACUCACCUGUAAGGCUGGGAACUCCAUAAUCCAGUUGGAAAUGCAGAAAUCACCUGUCUUCUGCGUCGAUCAGGCUGGGAGCUGCAGACCGGAGCUGUUCCUAUUCGGCCAUCUUGGAAUGGACCCCCAUGUCUUAUUCUCAAAUAAAACAUUUUGGUCAAAGCCUUGAUUAUCUAAUCAAUUUUUAAAAUUAUGUUCUGUUACAAAAAGGACAGAUUCUUAUCGAACCCAUAUAAAAUAGUAUAUCACCAUUGAUACGGUUUGGAUCUGUGUCCCCACUCAAAUCUGAUGUUCAAUUGUAAUCUCCCAGUGUUAGAGGUGAG